This 206-nucleotide long non-coding RNA is filed under the name Musa acuminata (dwarf banana). RNAcentral's name for it is "long non-coding RNA (MACU_LNC004680)". The record is from RNAcentral. Lineage: Eukaryota; Viridiplantae; Streptophyta; Magnoliopsida; Zingiberales; Musaceae.
AAUAAAAUUCCUAAUAGGUGAUACAUUAUUUUUUUGAGAAAAAAUAAAAAAUAAUGCAUUGCAUCGAUACACUAUUCAAAAUUAUCUAAAAUUUUUAGAAAAACCUUGAAUAGGACACUUAUGGGCAUAUGCCACUAGUUUUCUAUUUUAAAUUAUUUUGUAUUUUUAUAAUUUUUGAACAUUUGAACAAUGUGUCAAUUUUUUUU